RNAcentral lists this long non-coding RNA (1007 nucleotides) under Mustela putorius furo (domestic ferret). RNAcentral's name for it is "lncRNA (ENSMPUG00000029998.1)". The record is from RNAcentral. Lineage: Eukaryota; Metazoa; Chordata; Mammalia; Carnivora; Mustelidae.
CCUUGAUUUUCUUUUAGUUGACCAAUGAGGUGUUUGUGCUCCAGUCAUUACCUGUUGCCACACUUGGACAGACACUUGAGAAGCUGAGAUACAGUUAUGUAAGAUCAGUGAAUAAGCCACUUGGAUUAAGAAAAUGACUCCAUUCAGUGGGCCCUUUCUUUGACAUAUUUAAUUCUGAUUACUUUGGUUUUUGGGGACCAUGGGUCCAAAAUGCACCCUGGACAUUGAGAAUUACCCUGUUUCUAAUAAUCCUAGCAGUCUCUGGCACACUUUAUUCUCUCAAAAGCUUUAUAUGCUUAUUCGCAGCUGCUGACUAUGAAGCAAAUGAUCUCCCUAAGAGGAGAAUGUCAGAAAAGCAACAAAGAACUUAAAGAAUGUGAAUUUGAUGCUGUGACCUCUGAAUGCCACACACAGAUUCAGCAAAAACUGCAAGAACUCUACCGGGAUAGCUGGAAGUAGCACUUAUCUCUUUGUUCUGUUUUUCUUUAUUUUUUUUUUAAAUCACACUCUCAAGCUGAGAGUGUGAUCAAAAGAGGGGAUUCUUAAGAAUGACACAACAAUCCCCAAAUGAGGUCACUUACACUAAGCCCCAUGUGACCAAACUGACAUUUAACAUAAUUAUCAUUUUGGCACUUCCAGAAAUGGAAUCUUAUACCAGGUCAAACAGGAAUCAUCUGAUCAGCACUAGGGUCCGUGAUCAAAGGAACAAGACCGAUGCAAAGGGAAAGUCAAGCAAAGCUUUAUUUCGCUCCAAGCAUUGAAAAUCAAACCGACUGGUCGGGGCCGUCUUUUAUGAAGAGGCUAUGUCCACCAGGACACCAACCCCACCAAUUCCCCUUACCCGGACUCCCCUACCCGGCAACUAUGCUCCAGGUGGCACUACUCCCCAACGAGGCUGAUUCCCCACGAUGAUGCUCCCCGCAGGGCCACUUCCCCAGAGGAGGCCGCUCAGGCGAGGCCCAUGAUGCUCCCAAUGACCACGAGGGCUAUUACUCCGGACUACUAUU